RNAcentral lists this transfer RNA (87 nucleotides) under Penaeus monodon (black tiger shrimp). RNAcentral describes it as "tRNA-Sec". It matches the Rfam family "Selenocysteine transfer RNA". Lineage: Eukaryota; Metazoa; Arthropoda; Malacostraca; Decapoda; Penaeidae. RNAcentral also lists the same sequence under 3 other names. The record is from RNAcentral.
GCCCAACUGAGCCUCGGGGGUCCGGGGUGCAGGCUUCAAACCUGUAGCUGACUAGCGUCAGAGUGGUUCGACUCCACCUGGUGGGCG